AUGUCCAGUCAGUUUACUUUCUCCUCCAAGGUAUUUAGGAUCUGGAUAGGAUGGAAGACAGCCUUAGAUUUCCACAGCCACUGCCAGAGUGGUCCCGUUGUGUGGGGACUGGUCAGCUCCUGCAUGGCCACCUGCCAGCACCCUCCCCGAGACAUCUCUAUCCCCCAUCCCCCACCUUCUCUCCCCUCCUCUCCUUUUUCUUUCUUCUCCCCUCGGUCUCCUAUUCUCUCUCCCUCCUCCCUCUCAGCCUCUCCCUCCUCCCACAGCCUCUCUGUUCUCCCUCUCAGCCUCUCCCUCCUCCCUCAGCCUCUCCCUUCUCCCUCUCAGUCUCUCCCUCCUCCCUCAGCCUCUCCCUUCUCCCUCUCAGCCUCCCCCUCCUCCCUCUCAGCCUCCCUCCUCCCUCUCAGCCUCCCUCCUCCCUCUCAGCCUCUCCACCUCCAGCCUCCCCCUCCUCCCUCUCAGCCUCUCCACCUCCAGCCUCCCCCUCCUCCCUCUCUGCCUCCCUCCUCCCUCUCAGCCUCCCCCUCCUCCCUCUCAGCCUCCCUCCUCCCUCUCAGCCUCCCUCCUCCCUCUCAGCCUCCCUCCUCCCUCUCUCCUCUCCCCCUCCUCCCUCUCUGCCUCCCUCCUCCCUCUCUCCUCUCCCCCUCCUCCCUCUCAGCCUCCCUCCUCCCUCUCAGCCUCCCUCCUCCCUCUCUGCCUCCCUCCUCCCUCUCAGCCUCCCCCUCCUCCCUCUCAGCCUCCCUCCUCCCUCUCCCCCUCCCUCCUCCCUCUCAGCUCCCCUCCCUCCCUCUCAGCCUCCCUCCUCCCUCUCAGCCUCCCUCCUCCCUCUCAGCCUCCCUCCUCCCUCUCUGCCUCCCUCCUCCCUCUCAGCCUCCCCCUCCUCCCUCUCAGCCUCCCUCCUCCCUCUCUGCCUCCCUCCUCCCUCUCAGCCUCCCUCCUCCCUCUCGCAGCCUCCCCCUCCUCCCUCUCCCUCCCCCCUCCUCCCUCUCUGCCUCCCUCCUCCCUCUCUCCUCUCCCCCUCCUCCAUCUCAGCCUCCCUCCUCCCUCUCAUCCGCUCUCCCCCUCCUCCCUCUCAGCCUUCCCUCCUCCCUCUCUCCUCUCCCCCUCCUCCCUCUCUGCCUGCCCUCCUCCCUCUCCCUCCCUCCUCCCUCUCACCUGCCCUCCUCCCUCUCUCCUCUCCCCCUUCUCCCUCUCUGCCUCCCUCCUCCCUCUCUCCCUCUCCCCCUCCUCCCUCUCUGCCUCCUCCUCCCCCUCUCGUCCUCUCCCCCUCCUCCCUCUCAGCCUCCCUCUCCCUCUCAAGCCUCUCCACCUCCAGCCUCUCCCCCUCCUCCUCUCGCCUCCUCCUCC
Molecule: long non-coding RNA, 1347 nt
Filed under: Callithrix jacchus (white-tufted-ear marmoset)
Lineage: Eukaryota; Metazoa; Chordata; Mammalia; Primates; Cebidae
Description: lncRNA (ENSCJAG00000078078.1)
Source: RNAcentral